AGUGAACGCUGGCGGUAGGCCUAACACAUGCAAGUCGAACGGCAGCACAGUAAGAGCUUGCUCUUACGGGUGGCGAGUGGCGGACGGGCGAGGAAUACAUCGGAAUCUACUUUUUCGUGGGGGAUAACGUAGGGAAACUUACGCUAAUACCGCAUACGACCUACGUGUGAAAGCAGGGGAUCUUCGGACCUUGCGCGAUUGAAUGAGCCGAUGUCGGAUUAGCUAGUUGGCGGGGUAAAGGCCCACCAAGGCGACGAUCCGUAGCUGGUCUGAGAGGAUGAUCAGCCACACUGGAACUGAGACACGGUCCAGACUCCUACGGGAGGCAGCAGUGGGGAAUAUUGGACAAUGGGCGCAAGCCUGAUCCAGCCAUACCGAGUGGGUGAAGAAGGCCUUCGGGUUGUAAAGCCCUUUUGUUGGGAAAGAAAAGCAGCAGGUUAAUACCCCGCUGUUCUGACGGUACCCAAAGAAUAAGCACUGGCUAACUUCGUG
Molecule: ribosomal RNA, 492 nt
Filed under: uncultured bacterium
Lineage: Bacteria
Description: partial 16S ribosomal RNA
Rfam family: Bacterial small subunit ribosomal RNA
Source: RNAcentral